AGUGAACGCUGGCGGUAGGCCUAACACAUGCAAGUCGAACGGCAGCACAGUAAGAGCUUGCUCUUACGGGUGGCGAGUGGCGGACGGGUGAGGAAUACAUCGGAAUCUACUUUUUCGUGGGGGAUAACGUAGGGAAACUUACGCUAAUACCGCAUACGCCCUCCGGUUGAAAGCAGGGGAUCUUCGGACCUUGCGCGAUUGAAUGAGCCGAUGUCGGAUUAGCUAGUUGGCGGGGUAAAGGCCCACCAAGGCGACGAUCCGUAGCUGGUCUGAGAGGAUGAUCAGCCACACUGGAACUGAGACACGGUCCAGACUCCUACGGGAGGCAGCAGUGGGGAAUAUUGGACAAUGGGCGCAAGCCUGAUCCAGCCAUACCGCGUGGGUGAAGAAGGCCUUCGGGUUGUAAAGCCCUUUUGUUGGGAAAGAAAAGCAGCAGGUUAAUACCCCGCUGUUCUGACGGUACCCAAAGAAUAAGCACCGGCUAACUUCGUG
RNAcentral lists this ribosomal RNA (492 nucleotides) under uncultured bacterium. RNAcentral describes it as "partial 16S ribosomal RNA". It matches the Rfam family "Bacterial small subunit ribosomal RNA", at positions 29 to 507 of the family's 1533-position model. The record is from RNAcentral.